RNAcentral lists this long non-coding RNA (1634 nucleotides) under Gallus gallus (chicken). RNAcentral describes it as "long non-coding RNA NONGGAT008169". The record is from RNAcentral. Lineage: Eukaryota; Metazoa; Chordata; Aves; Galliformes; Phasianidae.
GGGUGAGGAAGCUGAUAGACCUUCUGCACACAGCUGGAAAUGGUGCCCACAGCUGUGAGGCUAGUUCUCAUGGUAGGCUCCAGGAGUUUCCUGCAAUGUGUCAAAGGUAAGAUCUUCUGACACAGGUGAUGAAGGAGGCAUUGAGGAGAGGGGCUGCUGGAGCUCCCUAUUGCAGAAGAGCCAUUUGGGGACAGGAAGGCCAGGGGCAGCCUGGAGCGUGCCAGUCGUGAGACCACAGUGUUUGGGAUCUUGUGUGGAAGCUGCAAAGCAAUGAGUAGGAUUGAAACACUGGACUUGGAGGGAGCCAAGUUUGUCCUCUUGAAGGGCCUACUUGGAGGUAACCCUUGCUCAAGCAUAGGAAGGGGUCCUGUGAAUGCUGGAGCAUUACUUCGUCCAUGCUGAGGUGCGCUGCGUCCCAAGGAGGAAGGAACUGCGCCGGAAUGGUGGGGGACCUGCAGGGCUGACUGAGGAACUUGAAGGGGAGAAGGAAGAGAGAGGCUGAGGAAGGCCAAGUCCCUCUGAGUAUCAGCUUUGGGAGGGAGGUCAAGGCUAAUGGAAGUUUGUCAACAGGAGAGACUGGAGAAAUUGCAGGCCUGUGCUUUACAAGGCGGAGGCCUCUUGGGUUUCAGUGGUUUCUGCUGAGAGUGCUCCUGGGGAACCUGGGGUCCUGGAGGAGAGAGUCCCUGAGGAAGGAUGUCUUCCCCUCAGUUGCGGAGGAGCUGGUCAAAGGUACCUGAAGACUGGAGGAUGGCGGAUGCCACCGCAGCCUUCAGAAAGGGUGUGGAGGAUGGCGUGUGCAACUUGGAGGUAGGUUGGCCUCAUGUCUGUUCCUGGGGAGGUGACGCAACAGCUUGUUGCAGGUGUCAUUGCCAUGUGACUGGAGGAGAAGGUAUUUGCAAGGAGCAGUCCAGGUGGAUGGACAGAGGAGAAGUCAUGCCGGACCAAAAGGUAGCUUUGUGCGUUGUCUUGAUUGUGCAGUUAGAGGAGAGGAGGGUGGCAGAUAGCAAUGCCUGCUGUGCAGGAGCCCAGUUGACGGGGAUGAGUGGCGUGUGUGUGGCAGUAGGGGGGCAGUGUGCAUGUUUGGUAUCACCAGAAUUUCUCAUUCAAGAGGAAGAAGAAUGAUUUCCCUGUGAGCGGGAUGGGAGAGGAGUGCCUGGGGAGGUUGUGGAGUCCGGUUCCCUGGGCCCCGUUCCAGUUGCGUGUGGGUGCUUUGCAGUGGGGCCUUGGCAUUCUGUCUGGCUGUGUGAUCUGUGCUCUUGUUGCAGGGUGAAGGCUGCAGAGAGGAUUGGCUGGAGCAGGUGUGCAGUUUUCCCAGUGGUGGGAUGAAGGAGGUUCAGGCUGGAGGCAGGAUCCUGGUGGUGUGAGUGGGGCGCCCCUGUGGAGCAAGGGUGGAAGGUGUGUGGCAGGUCCUGUCCCGGAGGAGUGGAGUUAAGGGUCCUGGCGUGGCUGUUUUCCUGCAUGGAAGAUGGAGAUCCUGGGAGCUGUGAUGAGGAGGAGCAGAGCCAGCAGGUAGGCCUGGGGUGUUGUGCUGUCUUGGCUCUGUUUGUGUUUGCUUAGGUGGCUGGCUGGCUUUGGUGUGUAAGAGGUUUGUGUUGGUGAUGUGGCAGGCUUGUUUGCUGGUGGUCUUGUGGUGG